GAUGAACGCUGGCGGCGUGCCUAAUACAUGCAAGUCGAGCGAACAGAUGAGGAGCUUGCUCCUCUGACGUUGGCGGCGGACGGGUGAGUAACACGUGGAUAACCUACCUAUAAGACUGGGAUAACUUCGGGAAACCGGAGCUAAUACCGGAUAAUAUAUUGAACCGCAUGGUUCAAUAGUGAAAGACGGUUUUGCUGUCACUUAUAGAUGGAUCCGCGCCGCAUUAGCUAGUUGGUAAGGUAACGGCUUACCAAGGCAACGAUGCGUAGCCGACCUGAGAGGGUGAGCGGCCACACUGGAACUGAGACACGGUCCAGACUCCUACGGGAGGCAGCAGUAGGGAAUCGUCCGCAAUGGGCGAAAGCCUGACGGAGCAACGCCGCGUGAGUGAUGAAGGUCUUCGGAUCGUAAAACUCUGUUAUUAGGGAAGAACAAAUGUGUAAGUAACUAGGCACGUCUUGACGGUACCUAAUCAGAAAGCCACGGCUAACUACG
RNAcentral lists this ribosomal RNA (495 nucleotides) under uncultured bacterium. RNAcentral describes it as "partial 16S ribosomal RNA". It matches the Rfam family "Bacterial small subunit ribosomal RNA", at positions 28 to 505 of the family's 1533-position model. The record is from RNAcentral.